AAUCAAGAGAGUCAAUGACAAGCCCUGGCUGGUUGACCGGCAACCCUCUGGUAGUAGUGGGGUGCUCCAGGUGACGAUUCGGCGUUCGGGGAACUCCGCAACGCAAGUACUGCAU
RNAcentral lists this non-coding RNA (115 nucleotides) under Neomicrococcus aestuarii. RNAcentral describes it as "SAM-IV sequence". It matches the Rfam family "SAM (S-adenosyl methionine) riboswitch aptamer". Rfam says of the family: SAM-IV is a mRNA element that regulates gene expression via direct sensing of S-adenosylmethionine (SAM or AdoMet). The record is from Rfam by way of RNAcentral. Lineage: Bacteria; Bacillati; Actinomycetota; Actinomycetes; Micrococcales; Micrococcaceae.